CCCUAUGUCGCUCCGAUUCGUCCCUCCCCCCCACCCCCAACGCGCACRCUCCCCCCUCUCCCCUUUCCCCGGCCCCGGCCCUGAGGUUUGAAACCACCCCCGCCACGCGCCGGCUAUGUCCCCCCGACCCUUCGAUGCCUCUGCUGGUCGGGAUCCCCCCCACACCCCCCGUGCCCAUGUCACGUCUUCUAUCAAAAACUUGGCAAAGGCAUGGAAACUUGGAAGCUUGACCAAAGACACGUGACGCGUGCCACGGGGCCUUGCAUGGUGCCCGCGAGCCAAGCCAAGGUGCCACGGGGCCUUGCCUGGUGCCCACCCGCGAGCCAAGCCAAGGUGCCACGGGGCCUUGCAUGGUGCCCUCCUGCGAGCCAAGCCAAGGUGCCACGAGGCCUUGCUUGGUGCCCGCGAGCCAAGACAAGGUGGCACGCGGCCUUGCAUGGUGCCCUCCUGCGAGCCAAGCCAAGGUGCCACGAGGCCUUGCUUGGUGCCCGCGAGCCAAGACAAGGUGGCACGCGGCCUUGCAUGGUGCCCACCCGCGAGCCAAGACAAGGUGGCACGCGGCCUUGCAUGGUUCCCUCCUGCGAGCCAAGCCAAGGUGCCACGGGGCCUUGCAUGGUGCCCACCCGCGAGCCAAGCCAAGGUGGCACGGGGGCCUUGCUUGGUGCCCGCCCGCGAGCCAAGCCAAGGUGCCACGGGGCCUUGCAUGGUGCCCACCCGCGAGCCAAGCCAAGGUGGCACGGGGCCUUGCUUGGUGCCCGCCCGCGAGCCAAGCCAAGGUGGCACGAGGCCUUGCAUGCUGCCCGCCCGCGAGCCAAGCCAAGGUGCCACGGGGCCUUGCUUGGUGCCCGCGAGCCAAGCCAAGGUGCCACGGGGCCUUGCAUGGUGCCCUCCCGCGAGCCAAGCCAAGGUGCCACGGGGCCUUGCUUGGUGCCCGCGAGCCAAGCCAAGGUGGCACGAGGCCUUGCAUGGUGCCCGCCCGCGAGCCAAGCCAAGGUGCCACGGGGCCUUGCUUGGUGCCCGCGAGCCAAGCCAAGGUGGCACGAGGCCUUGCAUGGUGCCCACCCACGAGCCAAGCCAAGACACGCGACGCGUGCCACGGGGCCUUGCUUGGUGCCCGCGAGCCAAGCCAAGGUGGCACGAGGCCUUGCAUGGUGCCCGCCCGCGAGCCAAGCCAAGGUGCCACGGGGCCUUGCUUGGUGCCCGCGAGCCAAGCCAAGGUGSCACGGGGCCUUGCAUGGUGCCCKCCCGCGAGCCAAGCCAAGGUGCCACGGGGCCUUGCUUGGUGCCCGCGAGCCAAGCCAAGGUGGCACGAGGCCUUGCAUGGUGCCCACCCACGAGCCAAGCCAAGACACGCGACGCGUGCCACGGGGCCUUGCUUGGUGCCCGCGAGUCAAGCCAAGGUGGCACGAGGCCUUGCAUGGUGCCCGCCCAUGAGCCAAGCCAAGACACGCGACACGUGCCACGGGGCCUUGCCUUGGUGCCCUCGAGCCAAGCCAAGACACGCGACGCGUGCCAUGUGGCCUUGCUUGGUGCCCACGAGCCGAGCCAAGACACAUGACGCGUGCCACCUCCCGUGCCACGACAGCUACAAUGACCCUCGAUAUGGUGCUAGAGGCUGUGCUAGGACACGUGACCCAUGCCAUGAUGCGUGCCACGGCCCAAGGCACGACACGUCUCGCGUGCCACGACCCCCAUGCCAUGGUGCCACGACACCUGUAAUGACCCAUUCCAUGGUGGUAGAGGCUGUGCCAAGACACAUGGUGCGUGCCCUAUCUGGAUUUCGACCCUGAUGCCUUGACAAGGUUCCGGAUUAUGGUCUAUUGCUAAUCACGGAAUGUUAUUAAUCCAUGGAUUCAUGUUGCAAAGGUUGUUCGCUAUUUUUUUNAUAUGGUUUUUUUAAGUAAAUAAAUUUAAAAAUUAAUUUUGUUUGGACAAUCAUUGGAUUCUCUUUAAAGAUUUCUUUUUCCCAUAUCAAAUACAAUUUUWAAAAAUAUUUAAAGUAAUUUUUACUUAUUUUCCCCAUUUUCCCSCUAUUUUUCUAAGUAAAAAAACUAAAAAAAAAUAUUUUUUUGCCAAGAGAGCAUCACAAAUCCUUGAAUUCGUCUUCCAUAUAUUUUUCCCAUGUGAAAUACAUUUUUUAAAAAUAUUUACACUAUUUUUUCCUCAUUUUUACUAUUUUUUAAGUAAAAAAUUCGAAAAAAAAAAAUAUUUUUGAGAGAUAAGUUGCAUUAAUUCAUGGGUUCCUAUUCCAGAUAUUUUUCCCAUGUGAAAUACAAUUUUUAAAAAUAUUUUCACUAUUUUUUGGUAUUUUUUACUAUUUUUCCCUAUUUUUCGGACAAAAAAAUUAAAAUAAAUAUUUUCUGGGCCGAAAUUUUUUUUUUUUUUUUCCCUUGGGUUCAUAUAAUUAUUAUAAAGAGAUUCAGCAAAAAAAACGGAAUUAAAAACUCUUUUUUCAUUAAAAAAUGGCAUUAUGUCUCCUCAAGCAUGGGUGAUGUCUCCUCAAGGCAUUUCCAAAAUGGCCCAAAAUGCUCUUUAAGGGGGGGGUGCUGUCCUCAAUGGGCUGGCAGCACCACCCGCCCAGGCACGCUGCAGCGCGUGCCGCCCUUGGCGUGCAGGCCGCCCAUGCCACCCUAGGCAUGGCGCCCCCGCAUAUGCCACCCUCAAGCCCACGACAUGCUAAUGCGAAGAGAGCACGCCCGCGACACCGUGGGGAGCCCUCGCACGCAACAGCAGUCACCCCGUGCCCCGUACACGCUGCAGCCCGGACGCGUCCCAUGCCCCCCAUGCGGACACGCCCUCCCCCCCAUGCAACGAGUGCCCUCCCCGCGCACUCGGCCCCGUCCCUCCCCGUCUCGGCUCGACCCCUCGAGCGAGCAUGUUGCCUCGGAAAAACGUGCCAAUGGCCAAUGUCGYGGCUCACCCCGGGGGGCUCACCCAUGCCUCCCGCCCGACGCUGCCCAUCAAAAGGCACACGGACGCCCCUCCCCCCAUGCAACGAGUGCCCUCCCCAUGCACUCGGCCCCGUCUCGGCUCGCCGAGGAGCCCUUGAGCCCUCGAGCGAGCAUGUUGCCUCGGAAAAGCUUGCCAAUGGCCAGCGUCGCGGCUCACCCCGGGGGCUCACCCAUGCCUCCCGCCCGACGUUGCCCAUCGAAAGGCACACGGAUGCCCCUCCCCCCCAUGCAACGAGUGCCCUCCCCGGGUGCUCGGCCCCCCGUCUCGGCUCGUCGAGGAGCCCUCAAGCCCUCGAGCGAGCAUGUUGCCUCGGAAAAAACGUGCCAGUGGCCAACGUCGCGGCUCACCCCGGGGGGCUCACCCAUGCCUCCCGCCCGGCGUUGCCCAUCGAAAGGCACACGGAUGCCCCCUCCCCCCCAUGCAACGAGUGCCCUCCCCGGGUGCUCGGCCACGUCCCGGCUCGUCGAGGAGCCCUCAAGCCCUCGAGCGAGCAUGUUGCCUCGGAAAAAACGUGCCAGUGGCCAACGUCGCGGCUCACCCCGGGGGGCUCACCCAUGCCUCCCGCCCGRCGUUGCCCAUCGAAAGGCACACGGAUGCCCCUCCCCCCCAUGCAACGAGUGCCCUCCCCGGGUGCUCGGCCCCGUCCCGGCUCGUSGAGGAGCCCUCAAGCCCUCGAGCGAGCAUGUWGCCUCGGAAAGGRGCCAGACGCAUCGUYGCCAUGCCUAUAUCGGUCCUACGAAGGCUUCACUCGUUGCUCCCGUGUGCUGGUCAGGAGUCGCCUCCGGACGAGUCGCGGUUCGACGCGUGAUGCCGUGUCGUAGUGAACCUGAUGGCGUGUGAGUGGUGUUUGGGUCGCGUGGGUCGGCAGGCUCCUUGCUCGUGCAACGAACUGUCGCCGCACCGCCCUCUUCAUUCUAAGCCUCAAGCGCUGCAACAAGCCUUGGGCGUCGCGAUGCCGUGGUUCCUGUGUUGCCUUCCUAACGGAUGGAAUUGUCCCUCGAACGUUGCCUAUCUCCGCCCGGCUCCCGCUCACGCGGUGCGGGCGGACCUCGAAAGCGGUCGCCGCGUCCCAUGGUCGCCCCACGCAUGCGCACGCAUGAGAGGGGUCGAGCACGGCCCGCGACGGCCGCUCGUGCUCUCGGAUGCGGAACCUUAAAACGGGCGUGGGGUCUCUCGGGAUCCCGUACUCGCUCGAGCUAAGCGUUCGUCGCUAGACGCGUACGACGGCCGUCCCCGYCUUUGCCCUCCCGUCCCGCUCCCCUCGGGGGGCGUCGGUCAGGCGCAUGCGGUGCCGGCGUCGCACAGGAAUGC
Molecule: unclassified non-coding RNA, 4263 nt
Filed under: Vitis romanetii
Lineage: Eukaryota; Viridiplantae; Streptophyta; Magnoliopsida; Vitales; Vitaceae
Description: partial external transcribed spacer
Source: RNAcentral